GAUGAACGCUGGCGGCGUGCCUAAUACAUGCAAGUCGAGCGAACGGACGAGAAGCUUGCUUCUCUGAUGUUAGCGGCGGACGGGUGAGUAACACGUGGAUAACCUACCUAUAAGACUGGGAUAACUUCGGGAAACCGGAGCUAAUACCGGAUAAUAUUUUGAACCGCAUGGUUCAAAAGUGAAAGACGGUCUUGCUGUCACUUAUAGAUGGAUCUGUGCUGCAUUAGCUAGUUGGUAAGGUAACGGCUUACCAAGGCAACGAUGCAUAGCCGACCUGAGAGGGUGAUCGGCCACACUGGAACUGAGACACGGUCCAGACUCCUACGGGAGGCAGCAGUAGGGAAUCUUCCGCAAUGGGCGAAAGCCUGACGGAGCAACGCCGCGUGAGUGAUGAAGGUCUUCGGAUCGUAAAACUCUGUUAUUAGGGAAGAACAUAUGUGUAAGUAACUGUGCACAUCUUGACGGUACCUAAUCAGAAAGCCACGGCUAACUACGUG
Molecule: ribosomal RNA, 497 nt
Filed under: uncultured bacterium
Lineage: Bacteria
Description: partial 16S ribosomal RNA
Rfam family: Bacterial small subunit ribosomal RNA
Source: RNAcentral